This is a long non-coding RNA of Pollicipes pollicipes, 333 nucleotides long. RefSeq lists it as uncharacterized. Lineage: Eukaryota; Metazoa; Arthropoda; Thecostraca; Pollicipedomorpha; Pollicipedidae. The record is from RefSeq and is a predicted model, not a curated record. The transcript is spliced from 3 exons.
GAAUACAAGAUUCUACAGUCUCAGAGAACCCGAGACCUUGCUGCCAGAGCAGUUCAUUCGACGGAACACGGCGCCCAUCAUUAACGUCGUGCCGGAUCCUUCGGCCAGGUCCAUCAAUUUCCACUACCACGAGAGUAGCAGUCCUGUGUCGGCCUGGAGAAAGUCCAUCUCCAAACUUGUUUCUGAAAAGGCCUCGCAAGACAACAUAUUGGCUGAAAGGAAUGGAAGUGAAACCAGUAGCAGGACUGUGAUGGACGCCAUUUUGAGCAGCCAAUGGGCCGAUCAAGAUGAGGUCAAGCAGACUCCAUCCGAAGACACAACCGACGAGCUCGA